Long non-coding RNA from Nyctereutes procyonoides (raccoon dog), 695 nucleotides. RefSeq lists it as uncharacterized. Lineage: Eukaryota; Metazoa; Chordata; Mammalia; Carnivora; Canidae. The record is from RefSeq and is a predicted model, not a curated record. The transcript has 3 exons.
GGAGGAGCAGCUCCAUGCAGGGAGCCCGACGCGGGACUCGAUCCCAGGACCCCAGGGUCGCCCUGGGCUGAAGGCAGAUGCUCAGCUGCUGAGCCCCCAAGUGCGCCCCCAUGCACAGGUGUCCAUGCACGGGUGUUGGAGGAGGGGAGCUCUGCACAGGCGCCGCCUCCUCUGCCACGUGCAUGUGGCUGCACACACAGGGAACUGGCUCUCACAAUUAUGGGGGACUGAGAAGUCCCAACAUCAGCAGUCAACAACAACCUGGAGAUGUAGCAGAGCUAAUGCUGUAAUUCAGUCUGAGUCUGAGUCUCAGGCCAGAGAAGACCAAGGACCCAGCUCAGAGACAAUCAGGCAGGAGGAAUCCCUUUUUACUCCGGGGAGAGUCCACCUUUUUGUUGUUUACAGACCUUGGAUGAAGCCUGUCCACGUUAGGGAAGGACAUAGUACAACUGGCCAGACUUGAGCUUUCCUGUUUAUGGCCGAGUCUCUGCUAUGCCUCCCUGAGAUUUCACUACAACUACUUUGAUCCCAUGAAGAGUCACACGUUUCCAGUUAAUAGACCAGCAGCUGAUCUUGUGUAUUAUAUAUAAGUUUGUGUGCUUAACCCAAUAGGACAAUUAUUUUUCUUUGGGUCUUAUGGUUUGUCCUGUUAUUCUUAUUUGUGAAGUCAGUGCUAUAUGAGCAACAAAAACCAG